RNAcentral lists this long non-coding RNA (11987 nucleotides) under Heterocephalus glaber (naked mole-rat). Its description in RNAcentral is "lncRNA (ENSHGLG00100038856.1)". Lineage: Eukaryota; Metazoa; Chordata; Mammalia; Rodentia; Bathyergidae. The record is from RNAcentral.
GCGACCACCAGAAGCGGCAGGAACCUGUAGACUGGGCCCUCGGUACCUCGCGCGGAUGCCCUGGAAGGAAGUCCUCCUCCUCUGGCCCCGCCCACCGAGGCGGACGCGCCCGGGCUGCAGAGUGCUGAGCCCGGCCUUGGGGUCCGCUUCUCCCCAACAGCUGCUCCCUGCCCUCUCUGAGGUCUCGCCGACUGCAGCCCUUUUGUGUCAGAACGAAUUUUCUGCACAGUCAUUCCGCUCGCUGACCAGCAACAUGUUAUCCCUGCGGCCUGCCUGGAGACACUGGGAAACAGAUCCUGUUCUUCCAGAUACUACAUGUGAAAGAAUGGCCUCCAUCUCCCUGCAGAAGAUACUCUAGAGUUGAAACAGAAGCAUACACAUUUCCAAGGAACAGACGAAGGACUCCCAGUCGUAAACCCUUUUCUUAUGAUUUGAGGAAAAGAAUUGAGAGUCCUACUGAAUCUCCAUACAAGUGACAGUCUCACAAGGCAAGGUAAGGUUUUGGGGCGCAACAUCUAUCCUGUGAGGAUUUUCAAGAGAAAAGGAUAGAAGGUCAGAGAUGCCUUCUUGUCUCUAUAGUUUUCUCAAUUUCCUUGGUGACAUAUUUGUGCAGCAUUUCUUACAAUCCAUCCACUUCAACAUACGAAGAUUUCCAGUAAAAAGCAUGGACAGAGAUUUCAAGGCAAAAGAAGAAAGAGAAGUCUUAGCCAGAGGAAAAGACACCUGAUGAUAACAAGGCAUUUCAGCCAUGAACCUUCCUAUGGGUGAAGAAAACAUUCCUCUUUGGUCUCUGCUAUUUCUGGCACCAACAUACAGUUAGUGAGACACCUCACUUGCUUCUGAACCUGCAAAUGCGAAAAAGCCAGCAAAAGUGGCAAGGAUCAAACUCAGGUCCUCGCGCUUGGGAGGCAGGCGGCGGCACCGCUGAGCUAAAUCCCCGGCCCCCAUACUACUCUUUUCUGUGCCUGUUUUGAAAACAGUACAACUUGGAAAGGACCUUUCCACGACCUGCACCUGCCAAGCUUGUGUUGACCUGCGUGGAGCUGGGAGCGAUAGAUGAGCUGUACGCGCGGCUCGGCCAACAGGAAAUACGUCAUCAGACUGCGCAGCAGGCUCGGCCGCGGGCGCUCUGGAAGGUGACAUUCUGGCGAGAACAGUGGCCGGCUGGGGUCAAACCUCAUCGGGUCCGCGGGGUUGCGGGGCUAUGUCAUUUAUCUAAGUUUCGCUUUCGUUACAGGACAGAGACGCUUUGUGGGUUUUGUUCGUUUUGUUUUGGCCUUCCAUUUUUAUGUUUAGGAUUUAGUUUCUUGUCUUUUAAAAACGUGAAUUAGGGCCGGAGAUUUAGCUCAGUGGCACUGCACCGGCCUCACAAGAGCAAGGUCCUGAGUUAGAUCCCCAGUACCAAAAAACAAACAAACAACAAAAACCGCGGAUUAGCCGGGCGUGGUGGCGCACGGCACGCCUGUAACCUCAGCACUGGAGGUUGAGGCUGGAGGAUAUCAGUGAGUUUAAACCCAGGCUGCACUACAGAGUGAGACGCUGUGUCAAACAAACAUACAAACACCCCCCCCCCCGCAAAAAACCCCCCAGCAAAUUAGCAUCCACCUUCUUAACAAUGCACUCUAUAAUACAGAUUUUAGAAGUCGUAACUUUCCUUGUUAUACUUCUGACUUUACAAAUGCGGCCCAAAGAGAGCCUUUGCUUUUGUAGUGCUACGUUAGAAGGGAGGCCUCGGGUGCCCACCGGGCUUGUGCUCUAUCCCUCAGGGGCACCCAGCCCCCCAGCCCCACCCCUCUCUAGUGAGAUAGGGAUCUGCUAAAUGGCCCAGGCUGGUCUGCAAUUUGCAACAUUCUUCUGCCUCAGGCUCCUAGGAGGCUAAAAUUAGAGGUCUCCACCACCAGGAUGGGUGAGACCUUUCUUUUCUUCUUCUUGUUUUGAGGUUUUUCUUUGUUUUUGUUCUUUGAGACAGGUUCUCCGUAUGUAGCCCAGGCUGGCCUCCAAUUUGUGGAUCCUCCUGCCUAAGCCUCCCUGGUGCUGGGAUUACAGGCAUUUGCUCGACCACGCCCAGCUCCUUUGGUUUUUAUAUGUAGAACAAAAUGAAAAUAGUUUUAUGUUAAAUCUGUGGUUACAGAAGUCAUCCAUGAGCACAUUUGCUUAUGUGCCUUUAAAAAAUUUUUAGGGCAGGGAUUUAGCUCAGUGGCACCGCACCUGCCUUGCAAGCGAAAGGUCCUGAGUUCAAUCCUUGGUAUCGCAAACACCCCCCCCCUCAAAAAAUUAGUUUUUGUUUGUUUUCAGUGUAUUUGUUAAAACACUUGAAAUAAUUUUCAGUAAGUUUGAUGGUAGAGUUUAUUUUUGUAAUAUAAAUGUGAUUCCUCUUAAAGAUGUAUGUGGUUUAUGCAUAUGUAUAUAUGUACCUGUAUACACACACACAAUUUGCUUAUUCUACUAGUUCAUCAUUUUUCUACCAAAAUGUCUGACAGAGGGUAGAGACAAGGAUGUUUUAGAGUAUAUUUGCCACAGUGCCACAUAAUUCAUCUGAGUGCGUCAUAUGGAUUUUCAAUAUGUGUACAUAUAGCUAUUUUUUUGUUUGUUUUUCAUGUGUACGUGCAUGUUACUUAAAAAUUAUUUGGGACCAGAGAUUUAGCUCAGUGGCACUGUGCCUGCCUGGCAGGCGCAAGGUCCCGAGUUCCAUCCCUGGUACCAAAAAUAAUAUUAUUAUUCAGUGAUACUUGCUGGAGCGUGGUAAAGCUGACCAUCAGCAUAGGCAGAGACCACUACAACAGCUUUCCUGUAGGGGAGAGAGAUUUGGCUCAACUCAGAAAACAGCAAGGCAGUGAGUUGGAUGUUGUGGCACUUGUUUGUAAUACCAGCAGUCAGGAGGCCGAGGCACGAGGAUUGCUGUGAGUUCAAGUCCAGCCUGGGCUACAAACCAAGGUCCUAUAUCUCAGAAAACAAAACAGGAGAGGAAGGGAGAAGAGAAGAAAAAAGAAAAGUAGUUAGUCAAGCCAGGCAUUGUCGUGCAUGUCUAGAAUCCCAUUUUUCAGGAGGCCAAGGCAGGGAAUUUUGAGUUGAAGGCUAGCUUGGGCUACGUAAGAGACCCUGGAAAGGAAGGGAAGGAAGGAAGGGAGGGAGAGAAAGAAAUAAGAAAGGAAGGGGAGAGAACAUUCCCUGAACGUCCUCCCUCACCCAAAUUUCCGCCCAGCUUUUGAUGCAUCUUCACCAGACGCCGAAGGUAGCUCAUCUUACGUAAGUAGAAAUGUUACCCAUCUCCGGUGCCUUACACAGUGUUUAGUCUACCAAUUCCUCUAUUAUAGAUGUUUUUAAAAACUUUUUUCUUAAUUAGAAACCUUUUUCAUAUUGCUAAGGAGUUAUAAUUUCAUUUAUAAUUUAAUUCCAGAAUUCAGCUCCUCCCUGAUUUUUAGAUACUUGCUUUUCACAAGUCAUUCAGUUUGACUAGGCCGAAGCUCGCUAACAAGGCACGAGUUCUCCAGGAGUUUUAGCAUCACCUGAGGGCUCCUUAAAACCCCAGGAACUGCCCAGGGCUCUCUAAUUUAGUGGAUCCUUGGGGGCCUGAUAAGUGAGGGUGGUGAAUGAUUGACUGAAGCUGCUGAGUGGCAUUUGCCUGAGGCUCAUGUGGAGAAUGCCUGAGGAUGCAGGUGAAUGAUUUCCUUGCCUGAAAACCCAUGUUGUUUGUUGAGACUCACACAGGAAGAGGUAGAACUAGAAUACUAGGGAUUUGCAUUCCAAAGCCUCUUUAAAAUUUCACUGACUUGAAAUCUAGAGGUUUCUAGUAUACUGCCUAGAAUCUGGACUUUAUUUUCUUUUCAUUAAAAAAAGAAUUCUUGUGAGUCAGGAUUAGUGGCACAUCCCUGUAAUCCCAGCGCUUUGGAGGCUGAAGCAAGGAGCAUCUCUAGCCAACCUUGGCUACAUAAUGAGAUUCUAUUUAAAAAAUAAAACAAAAAUAUGUUUUCUUGUGAUCUAUAUAUACGAAAAAGUGCAGAACACUUAGUCGUGCUUUAUAUUAUAUAAAGCUAACAUCCAAAUUGAGGAAUAGGUGCUCCCUGGUGCUCCCCAAAAAUCUGAAAUUCCUUCCGUAUUUUGACCUCCUCUUCCUCUAGAGAAAAGUCCUACAUGCUACUGUUUUUACUGUACUUUCAUUCCCUGAGUACAUAUUUACCAAAAAUACAGGUGACAUAGUUUCAUUUGUUAUUAAAUAUAUAUGUUGUCUUUUUCACUUAGCAUUGCAUUUCUAGUAUUUAUCCGUAUGUGUGUAAAUCCAGUUUGUUCAUUUUCAUUGAAGAGUGUGGUCUAUCAUUAUAUAGAACUACACACCAUUAUAUAAAACAUAUAUACUCUGUAUAUCACUAUCAAAGUCAGUGUAGUAGGUAUGUCUGAAUUUUUUUUUCUUUUUCUGGUACCGAGGAUUAAACUCAGGACCUUGUGCUUGUGAGGCAGGUACAGCGCCACUGAGCUAAAUCCCUCGCCCUGUCUGUGUGAAAAUUAGUGUGACCAUAUACACAUGCACCCACACGCAGGCACGCACAGACACCCCCCCCAAUAUGUUUGUCCCAUAAACAGACUUAGCCCUUCUGUGCCUGAGGACUGGGGAGUGUCUAGUCUGCAGGUUUUGAAUAUCUGGGUUUAUGUGUCCUAAUUUAUGGAGGUUGCUGCGGUUUGAAUCCAACAUGUUCUCUAAAAGGCUCUUGUGACUUUUGUCCAAUGAAACCAUACUCACAAGUGGGGUUUGGGGGAAGGUGGUUAGAUUACAGAGGUUGUCACUUAACCUGUAAUCAGUAUAUUGAGGGAUUCAGAGUCUGAGGGCACUAACGGGAGCCCUGGGACUUAGGAGGUGUGGCCUGGUCCCAGCUUGUGGGGCGGGGGUAUCACCUUGGGAGUAUAUUGAUUUUCCGGGCCCUUUCACUCAGUAUCCAUGUGUGUCUUGUUCAUUCAUUCACUUCUCUCUCUCCUCUCUUGUUCUGCUCUCUAGCUGCCACAAGGUGAGCAGCUGUGCUCUGCCACCCCCAUCUGCCAUGAUGUUUUGUCCUUGCCAAAGGUUAAAAGCAAUGGAUACAGCUGACCAUGGGCCUGAAACUGUAAGCCAAAAUAAUGUUUUGGGGACAAGGUCUCGCUAUGUAGUCACAUCAGCCUGGCCUUGAAUUCAUUUUGUGGCUCUCACUGACCUCACAGCCAUCCUCCCAGCUCAGCCUUCUGAGUGCUGGAAUUAUAGGUGCAUGCAGCCAAAAUAAACCUACUGAGUUGAUUUCUCAAGUAUUUUGUCACAGCAACAGAAAGCUGCCUAACAACUUCACAUCUCUCAAAGGUCUGUUCCUGGAGUCCAGAAGGUAGAUCUUCAAAUGUUGGCCACGGGAGAGUUAAUUACAACAACUGCUUUCGAAAACAGUGUUCUGGUACCUACAAAACAGUAGGCAUCUUACACACCAUGCAUUCUGCUCUGCAGUGAAUUGCAAGCACAGUGCAUCAGAAUCUAUGCACAUAAAAGUGUAUAGCAGUGAUGGCAAAAAUUUUAGAGCUUUCUAUGAUUAACAGACAAGCUGGGUGUGAUGGUGCACACCUAUUAUUCCAGCACUCUCAAGGUUGAGGCUGGAGGAUCGCCGAGAGUUUGAGGCCAGCUUGAACUACACAGGAAGACCCUGUCUCAGAAAACAAAACAAAACAAGUCCAAAAGGUGAUACCUGUGAAGAGGAAAUAGAGACUCUUUCUUGGAAAGAUUUAUUGAGUUUGUCUUGGUAGGAGUCAGUGACAUAAAUGUAUGGUUAUUUUACUUUUGUUCUUGCAUUUUAUAUCUUUUUUAAAAUUUUUAUAAUAACUGGGAAAAUAUGAUAACAUUUUAUCCUUCUGGGAAAUGUGUGGGUAGAAGAAAAAGAGACAGUCCUGCUCACCAACCCACAUCUUGUUGAGCCCAUCUUUGGUAGAGUAGAUUUUUAUAUUCAGCAAUGUGAAAACUGAAAGUGAGGGUUUUGUAUGAAUAACUUUAUGCCCAAGAGGACAUUUGAGUGCUGAGCUGAGAUGGAGUCUUGUGCUUUACUUUAGGUGAUUUUUUUUUGACUACUUAAAUGCAAAUUCUCUAAAACUAACUAUAAUCCUAUUGCACUGUGAACACAGUAAGAAAAAAAAUUUGUAUUAUUUUCCCCGUAUGCUUAACUAGGUUUGGCUAUGAUGGCUUAUACUGAAGUUAUUCAGGGUUCAGCUGGGAAAAACUACAUUUCCACUGCUGUUUUUUUCUUUAUACCCAUGCCUCCAACUGCAUGGUGCAUAUAUAAUUUAUUAGUUUAUAAUGGAUUCCUGAGAGAAAGAAUAUUUCCAGUGUUUGAUAUCAAUCUCAAAAGUCAAUAUGCUUUUUUUGUAAUUAUUUAAUUCUCAAAAAAAGAAUGGUCAGGGCCUGGGAUUUAGCUCAGUGGUUCUGCCGCCUGCCUGGAAAGCGCAAGGACCCGAGUUCAAUCCCUGGUACCAAAAAAAUUAAAAAAAAAAAAUAAUGAUCAUCUCCUGGCUGCUGUGCCCUCCUACCCAGUGUUCAUUGAAUUUAUGAAAUUAUGGGUUAUUCUGUUGUCUUAGUUAUUUUCUCACUGCUGAGACAAUACCCAACAUCCACAACUUGGAGAAGGAGCGGUUUAUUUUGGCUCACACUUAGUCGAGGAUUCAAUCCAUUCAAUCCAUAGUUAGCUGGCUAUAAGCAGGGCAGAGAGACAUGGCAGAGGAGAACUGCUCAUGGCAUGGCAGGUGGGAAUCAGAGCUUGAGGAGGGAGGAAGCUAACCCUUCCAGGGCCUCGCCCACAGUGACCUACAUCCUUCAGUCAAGCUUCACUUCCUAACAUCGCAUUUAGCUAUAAACUCAUCAGUGGACUCAUCCUCUGCUGAGUAUCACAGCCCCAGGACCCAGUCACCUCCCCAAAGCCCCAUCAGUGAGGGCAUGAGCUUUGGGAGGCCAUCUAGAUAUAAUCCAUAGAAUUCCACCCCUGGACCCCUCAAGACUCUUGUGCAUCCCUUUGUGCAAAAUGCGUUCGGUUCAGCUCUAAGAUUAGCCAAACUCCUGACAGUUUCAGCAUUGCUUAAAAGUCUAAAUCCAAGUUUCCUCUAAGAUCUAGGCAGACUCAUAGCUGUGAGCUCCUGUAAAAAGGACAAGAAAGCGAAACACUUCCAACAUAAAAAGGCACAGGAUAAAGAGUCCCAUUCCAAAAGGGAGAAACAGGGAGCUGGAAAGGACUGGGACCAAAGCAAGACUGAAACCCAGCCGGAGAAACAUUAACUCCUUUAGCUCCAAGUCCAGUAACCUGGGCCAACUUCCCUGAGCCAUGAAUUCCAGUGGGCUUGGCUGACGUCCCAGCCCUGUCACUGCAGGUGGUUGCAGUCCUCAUGGUCUCUCUUUUGGGCUGGCUUUGCUCACUCCUUUGCUCAUUCCUCAGGCGAGCCACAUUCCUGGCUUCUCCAAAAUCCUGGGUUCUCCACUGCACCUUUGGCUUCACACUCACAGCUUCACACCCUGCCCUCCUAGGGGCACACUGCCUGGCCUCCCUGGCCUUCUUCGGAGAUCUGAGUGGAAGCCUCACUGAACCCACAAUUCUUGCAUUCUGCAUGCAUCUAAAACCAGCACCAAGUGGAUGAGCCCAAGGUCUGCUGCCAGCUGGGGCAGUUGCUGAGCCCUUUUGCAACUUGCCAGUGGUUACAGAGGCCUCUGAGGGCCUGGAUGGCCCGGGCCCGGAUGGCCCGGGCCCCUGAACUGAAUGGGGGAAAUCAAAGUUACAGGGAUUCCUUCUCCAACAGAGUGCCUUGGGUCUCUCCUCUUCAGCCGGAGUCUAUAGCCUGCAAAGGGUGGGGCUUUCUGGUCCCUCAAAUCCCCUCAAGGCAUUUUCCUAUUGUCCUGUUGUAAAUUACUUGGGUUCUUUUGAAUGCUAAUCAUUUUAGCAACUAAGCUCUCCUCUGCUUAAACUUUGCAGGGCCAAACAUAAAACUGUUUAAAUCAUAGGGCCAGGGAUUUAGCUCAGUGGUUCCAGCACCUGCCUUGCAAGCGCAAGGUCCUGAGUUCGAUUUUUUGCGGGGGAGGGGACCGGGGAUCGAACUCAGGACCUUGUACUUGCCAGGGAGGUGCCAGAACCACUGAGCUAAAUCCCCAGCCCCCCAAAAACUUUUAAGUCAUUCAGCUAUGACUUUUGCUCUUGAUUCUCAAGGUAGAGCUGACUAAAAGCCCCUGACAGUCCAGUUCCUCUGUCUGAAGGCUGGAGUGCUGUGAAAUUUCCUCUGCCAGGUUAGUUAGUCUGCUACCUUUAAUCUCAGCCUCCUGAAAAGUCUCAGCACAUGGGUAAAAUGUAGACAGAUUUUCUGCUGGAGCAAAACAUUUAUCCUUUGGAGCCCAGCUACCAGGGGAGUCCUUCCUAACUGAAACCUCUUGAGCCUGGUCUUUAUCAGCUACAUCACUGUCCACAGUCUGGUCCAAUCAGAAUCUCCCACGAAGCUUGACUUAAAACAUUUGAGGGCUGAAGUUUUGGAAUAGGAUAGGGAAGACACAGGAGUCUGGAUUAGAAAUCACUUGUUUAGUGAGACUUUUACUUUUUCUUUACUUUGUUUUGUUUUAUAAUGCUGGUGAUUGAAUACUAGGCCUUGCACAUGGUAAGCAGACAUUUUAUUGCUGAGCUCUACCUACAGCUCCAGGAGAGAUUUAAAAUGGAUGGAGUCAGGUGUGGUGGUACACACAUAUGAUGCCAGCACUUGGGAGGUUGAAGCAGAAGGAUUUUGAGUUUGAACCAGGCUGGACUGCAUAGUUUGAAGCCAGCCUGAGCUACAUAGCAGUACCUUGUCUCACCCGCCGCCCCCCAAGCAAACAAAAAAUGAAACAGCCAAGCAUGGUUGCACAAACUUGUAAUCCCAGGAUUUGAGAGGCUGCUGCAAGAAGAUUGCUUUGAGUUUGAGGUCAGCCUGGACUACACACAGAGACCAUGUCUCCAAAACAAAACAAAACAAAGAAUGAAACAAUAAGACCAACAGAGGCUCAAAAGUCGGCCUAAUAUAAGGUUGGGGAUUGGAAACUGUAGGUGGUCAACCUUUAGGGUUAGACAGAGAAGAAUUAGGAAUUGAGUUAUGGUCUUCUCACCUUUUUUUUUUUUUGGUACUGGGGAUCGAACUUGGGUCCUUGUGCUUGCGCAGCAGGCGGCGAAACCACUGAGCUAAAUCCCCGGCCAGGUCUUCUCACUUUUGUGGCCAAUCUCCUACUGAGGAUAACAUGAGUAUCCUCUAAAUUGGGUAAUUAAUGAAUCUUCUGCCAACAGAUAUUUAUUUUUAUUUCUUUUCUUUUUCUUUUUCUUUUUGGUACCAGGAAUAGAACUCAGGGACUCUUGCCAGGCAGCAUUGUCCAGCUGAGCUACAUGUCUGGCACUACUUAUUUCUAUUUCAUGUAAAUUUUGUUCAUAAAAACCAGAGAAACUUUGUGUGCUGUUUUGCAUCCAGAGCUGUGAGCCAAGAUGGCCUCCUUGUUAACUUUUGACCACCCAGGUUCCCACUAUCUGGAGAAAAUGGUGGUGCUGAAUCUGGAAGGUUGAGAAGCAGAAUCUUGGCAGGAAGGAAAUGAGAUUUAACACAGUUUAAACUCAGACCAAUGACAAGUGAUGGUGGUGGCUGGGAGGUUAGGAGAGUGGGUAACAAAGAAAUAUAUAUAUAUUUUUUUGGUUGGGGAUUAAACCCAGGACUUUGCACAUGCUAGGCAAGUACCCUUCCACUGAACUAAAUCCCAGCCCUUUACCUCUUUUUAAUUAUCAGCAAUUCAUUGUGGAUGAUGUACAUGUUUUCUUCUUUUGUUUGUUUUUUGUUUUGUUUUGUUUUGAGACAGGGUCUCUUUCUGUAAUUCAGGCUGGCCUUGAACUCAUCAUGUAGCCCAGGAUGACUUCUAACUCCUCCUGCCCCAGCCUAUAGAGUGCUGGGAUUACAGGGAUACAUUACCCCACCCAGCAAUACAUUUUACAAAUAUAAAGUAAUGCACAGAAAAGAUCUCACUCUGUGUGUAUAAUGUGUAAUAUAUAUGUGGAGGGCAGUAAUGCACAUCUGUAAUUCCUGCAUUCACGAGGCUGAGGCAGGAAGCUCACCAUGAGUUAAUGGCCAACCUGAGCUACAUAAUGAGUUCAAAGCCAGUGUGGAGUAUGUAGUGAGAUCCUGUCCCAAAAAAACCCAAAAUGAAACAAAAGUAUAAUAUAUUGAUCUCUUCUGGUAUUUAAAAAUCUCUCAUCUUGAUUUGAUUUUGAUCCAUCUAAUCGUGAAUCUAGUUUUUUGCUCAUAUAAUGCUUUGUAUUUUUAUCAUGGUAAAAUACACAUAAGAUAAAAUCUAUUGUAACCAUUUUUAGUAUUCAAUGCAGUGGUAUUAAAUGUAUCCACAUUAUUGUGCAACUGUUAUAAGUGUCCAUCUCCAGAACUCUUUCGUCUUGCAAAACUGGAACUCUGUUCCCAGUAAACAAUAAAUCGCCCACCCUCUGGCACCCCCCAGUCUACUUUCUUUCUUUCUUUUUUGGUACCAGGGAUCGAACUCAGGACUUUGCGCUUGAGAGGCAGGCGCUGGAAUCACUGAGCUAAACCCCCCCCCCCCAGUCUACUUUCAAUCUCUAUGAUGUUUGAUUGCUUUCCAUACCUCACUGAGUCAUUCAGUAUUUGCCCUUUUCUAAGUAGCUUUGUUCACUUAGAACAAUGGCAGGAUUCAUCCAUUUUGUAUCAUGUCAGAAUUUCUUUCCUUUUUAAGAUUGAACACUAUUAAGUUUAUUCAUCUCUCCAUGAACACUUUGGGUGGCUUCUACCUUUGCCUUUUGUGAUUAGUGCUUCUGGGAAUGUGAGUGUGCAAAUAUCUUCACUUCUGUGGAUUCGGAUUCGGGUCCCUCAGGUAUACAGCCAGCAGGGAAAGUGCUGAUGCUCAUGGUGUUCAUUGUUCAGGUGUUAAUUUAUAAAGGAGAUGGGGUGAUGAUGUGGGCAUUCUGAUGUCAUGGAAACCAGAUUUUUAUUACUUAACGUUUUCCCAGAGAAGGGAACAUGCCACACCACCGUGUACUGUGCCACAUGACAUUGAGUGAGGAACAGCAGGUUUUGGUCAGGAGGCAGAACACAGGCGUGAGUUGAAUACGGUAUCCAGGCCAAAGCCUUUUGGAAUCCUUGGGCAAUCCAGGGAACAGCAAAGGCGAUCAGGGAUUGGCUGGUUUAAAUAACCCUGGCCAGUUGGAGGGUGGAGUGUGUUCUCUAGUGGCUCCAUACUUGGCCUGGGACAAUUGAGAGCAGAGUCCUGUGAAAGUGAAGGAGGAGUUGAGUGUGGCUGUGGACUGGGGCUAGUCAGUCUGCAGUGUGCUCACAGGCAUGUAGUUAUCUUCAGAGAUUAGCCAGCCUUGGGUAAGGCCAGUUCUCACUGGGUUUAUGAGGCCCUCAGUAUCAACACACCAAGAAAAAGGAAAAUAAGAAAUAUAGUUAAUAUAACUCACCUUGAGGUAAAUGUUUGUCAAGGAGACCUAUGCAGGAUCUAAGGAAAUCUAGAACCUGUGGUAUUUUUUAAGAAAAGUUUUUGGAGGAACAGCAUGUUUUCCAUAGUGGCUCUUCCAGUUUACAUUCCCACUAACAUUGCAUAAGAUCUGCAUUUUCUCCAUAUCUUCUAUAAUCUUUUUAUGCCUAGUGUUCCAUUUUCACAAUACUGAUAACAAUGGAACAUAAUAAAAUUUUUCUCUUCAAACUCUUGUUCUUUGAAUUUUUCUAAGUAACAUAAAUUUCAUGCAAAAGAUUAAAAAAAAUGCAAUCUUUAGCAUAAAGGUGUUAACACUUAUGUUGUUUUUUAUUGUGUGUGUGUGUUACACAGUAGCCUUCCUAAUAUAGAAAUUCUGAACUCUGAAAAAAGUUUUACUUGAAGUGGUAGAGGAAAAAGCAAGACUUUAUGACCGGUUGGCUCAGUGAAGUCCGUACUUCAAAAAGGCCUGGAUGAGAGGGGGAGGUUUUGUAUUGUAGUUUUAAGUUGGGAAGGG